AUUUGUGGUUGUAUUAGACCCAAGCCCCUGUUUCAAAGAUGUCUUACGCAUAUCUUUUCAAGUACAUCAUUAUAGGCGACACAGGUGUUGGGAAAUCCUGCCUUCUCCUGCAGUUCACAGACAAGAGAUUCCAGCCAGUUCAUGACCUGACAAUUGGUGUGGAGUUCGGCGCCCGCAUGAUCACAAUCGAUGGUAAACAAGUCAAACUGCAGAUCUGGGACACGGCCGGCCAGGAGGCGUUCCGCUCCAUCACGCGCUCCU
Long non-coding RNA from Pollicipes pollicipes, 261 nucleotides. RefSeq lists it as uncharacterized. The record is from RefSeq and is a predicted model, not a curated record. Lineage: Eukaryota; Metazoa; Arthropoda; Thecostraca; Pollicipedomorpha; Pollicipedidae. The transcript has 4 exons.